GACGAACGCUGGCGGCGUGCUUAACACAUGCAAGUCGAACGGAAAGGCCCUGCUUUUGUGGGGUGCUCGAGUGGCGAACGGGGGAGUAACACGUGAGUAACCUGCCCUUGACUUUGUGAUAACUUCAGGAAACUGGGGCUAAUACCGGAUAGGAGCUCCUGCUGCAUGGGGGUGGUUGGAAAGUGUCGGCGGUUGGGGAUGUUCUCGCGGCUUAUCAGCUUGUUGGUGGGGUAGUGGCUUACCAAGGGUUUGACGGGUAGCCGGCCUGAGAGGGUGGCCGGCCACAUUGGGACUGAGAUACGGACCAGACUCGUACGGGAGGCAGCGGUGGGGAAUAUUGCACAAUGGGCGGAAGCCUGAUGCAGCGACGCCGCGUGCGGGAUGACGGCCUUCGGGUUGUAAACAGAUUUCGCCUGUGACGAAGCGUGAGUGACGGUAAUGGGUAAAGAAGCAACGGCUAACUACGUG
RNAcentral lists this ribosomal RNA (468 nucleotides) under uncultured bacterium. RNAcentral describes it as "partial 16S ribosomal RNA". It matches the Rfam family "Bacterial small subunit ribosomal RNA", at positions 28 to 507 of the family's 1533-position model. The record is from RNAcentral.